UGUGAGCCAGCUCCUCUUAAAUGAAUUAGCUUGCCGGUGUUUGGUGGCGUCACAGGUGUGAUAACUAUCUACGCUUGUGGUUUCCCACCAGGUAACCUUCAGCAAUGGAGGUUCACUGGAGCUUAUAAAUGUCUCUCCUCAGCGAGGACACAUUUUGACCAUUUGAUCUCAAAUCAGGUAGGACUACCCGCUGAACUUAA
RNAcentral lists this unclassified non-coding RNA (200 nucleotides) under soil metagenome. RNAcentral's name for it is "partial contains internal transcribed spacer 2 and large subunit ribosomal RNA". The record is from RNAcentral.